Molecule: transfer RNA, 87 nt
Filed under: Roseinatronobacter monicus
Lineage: Bacteria; Pseudomonadati; Pseudomonadota; Alphaproteobacteria; Rhodobacterales; Paracoccaceae
Also listed under: 1 other name
Description: tRNA-Ser
Rfam family: tRNA
About the family: Transfer RNA (tRNA) molecules are approximately 80 nucleotides in length. Their secondary structure includes four short double-helical elements and three loops (D, anti-codon, and T loops). Further hydrogen bonds mediate the characteristic L-shaped molecular structure. tRNAs have two regions of fundamental functional importance: the anti-codon, which is responsible for specific mRNA codon recognition, and the 3' end, to which the tRNAs corresponding amino acid is attached (by aminoacyl-tRNA synthetases). tRNAs cope with the degeneracy of the genetic code in two manners: having more than one tRNA (with a specific anti-codon) for a particular amino acid; and 'wobble' base-pairing, i.e. permitting non-standard base-pairing at the 3rd anti-codon position.
Source: RNAcentral
GGAGAUGUGGCCGAGUGGUCGAAGGCGCUCCCCUGCUAAGGGAGUAGGCCCGAAAGGGUCUCGUGGGUUCGAAUCCCAUCGUCUCCG